Molecule: small nuclear RNA, 194 nt
Organism: Ahaetulla prasina
Lineage: Eukaryota; Metazoa; Chordata; Lepidosauria; Squamata; Colubridae
Product: U2 spliceosomal RNA
Exons: 1
Source: RefSeq, a predicted model, not a curated record
AUUGCUUCUCGGCCUUUUGGCUAAGAUCAAGUGUAGUAUCUGUUGCCUUAUUUUUAAAAAAUACCACAUAGAAGUUUACAAGCCCCAAAAAUGCUUGUAAUUCUGUUUUGUUUUUUGGGGUUGGAGCCUUUCUAAUGGCUCGCACUUUGCUCUCAGUUGGGUGGAUGCCUUCCUUAUCUAUCCGGUAACCCAAG